Molecule: unclassified non-coding RNA, 346 nt
Filed under: soil metagenome
Description: partial contains 5.8S ribosomal RNA, internal transcribed spacer 2, and large subunit ribosomal RNA
Rfam family: 5.8S ribosomal RNA (bases 1-120)
Source: RNAcentral
GAUGAAGAACGUAGCGAAAUGCGAUAAGUAAUGUGAAUUGCAGAAUUCAGUGAAUCAUCGAAUCUUUGAACGCACAUUGCGCCCCCUGGUAUUCCGGGGGGCAUGCCUGUCCGAGCGUCAUUGCUGCCCUCAAGCACGGCUUGUGUGUUGGGCUUCCGUCCCUGGCAACGGGGACGGGCCCAAAAGGCAGUGGCGGCACCAUGUCUGGUCCUCGAGCGUAUGGGGCUUUGUCACCCGCUCCCGUAGGUCCAGCUGGCAGCUAGCCUCACAACCAAUCUUUUUAACCAGGUUGACCUCGGAUCAGGUAGGGAUACCCGCUGAACUUAAGCAUAUCAAUAAGCGAGGA